This 253-nucleotide ribosomal RNA is filed under the name uncultured bacterium. Its description in RNAcentral is "partial 16S ribosomal RNA". It matches the Rfam family "Bacterial small subunit ribosomal RNA", at positions 524 to 776 of the family's 1533-position model. The record is from RNAcentral.
UACGUAGGGCGCAAGCGUUGUCCGGAAUUAUUGGGCGUAAAGAGCUCGUAGGCGGUUUGUCGCGUCUGCUGUGAAAACCUGAGGCUCAACCUCGGGCUUGCAGUGGGUACGGGCAGACUAGAGUGCGGUAGGGGUGACUGGAAUUCCUGGUGUAGCGGUGGAAUGCGCAGAUAUCAGGAGGAACACCGGUGGCGAAGGCGCUCAUCUGGCCCAAUACUGACGCUGAUGCGCGAAAGCUAGGGGAGCAAACGGG